UACGAAGGGUGCAAGCGUUACUCGGAAUUACUGGGCGUAAAGCGUGCGUAGGUGGUGAGUUAAGUCUGUCGUGAAAGCCCUGGGCUCAACCUGGGAAUGGCACUCGAUACUGGCCAGCUGGAGUAAGGUAGAGGAUGGUGGAAUUCCCGGUGUAGCGGUGAAAUGCGUAGAGAUCGGGAGGAACAUCUGUGGCGAAGGCGGCCAUCUGGACCAUUACUGACGCUGAGGCACGAAAGCGUGGGGAGCAAACAGG
This 253-nucleotide ribosomal RNA is filed under the name uncultured bacterium. RNAcentral describes it as "partial 16S ribosomal RNA". It matches the Rfam family "Bacterial small subunit ribosomal RNA", at positions 524 to 776 of the family's 1533-position model. The record is from RNAcentral.